This 726-nucleotide ribosomal RNA is filed under the name uncultured Fusobacterium sp. RNAcentral's name for it is "bacterial SSU rRNA". It matches the Rfam family "Bacterial small subunit ribosomal RNA", at positions 28 to 776 of the family's 1533-position model. The record is from RNAcentral. Lineage: Bacteria; Fusobacteriati; Fusobacteriota; Fusobacteriia; Fusobacteriales; Fusobacteriaceae.
GAUGAACGCUGACAGAAUGCUUAACACAUGCAAGUCGACUCGAGUCUUCGGACUUGGGUGGCGCACGGGUGAGUAACGCGUAAAGAACUUGCCUCUUAGACCGGGACAACAUCUGGAAACGGAUGCUAAUACCGGAUAUUAUGGUUUUUUCGCAUGGAGGAAUCAUGAAAGCUAGAUGCGCUAAGAGAGAGCUUUGCGUCCCAUUAGCUGGUUGGUGAGGUAACGGCCCACCAAGGCAAUGAUGGGUAGCCGGCCUGAGAGGGUGAACGGCCACAAGGGGACUGAGACACGGCCCUUACUCCUACGGGAGGCAGCAGUGGGGAAUAUUGGACAAUGGACCGCAAGUCUGAUCCAGCAAUUCUGUGUGCACGAUGACGUUUUUCGGAAUGUAAAGUGCUUUCAGUCGGGAAGAAGUCAGUGACGGUACCGACAGAAGAAGCGACGGCUAAAUACGUGCCAGCAGCCGCGGUAAUACGUAUGUCGCAAGCGUUAUCCGGAUUUAUUGGGCGUAAAGCGCGUCUAGGCGGCAAGGAAAGUCUGAUGUGUAAAUGCGGAGCUCAACUCCGUAUGGCGUUGGAAACUGCCUUACUAGAGUACUGGAGAGGUAGGCGGAACUACAAGUGUAGAGGUGAAAUUCGUAGAUAUUUGUAGGAAUGCCGAUGGGGAAGCCAGCCUACUGGACAGAUACUGACGCUGAAAGCGCGAAAGCGUGGGGUAGCAAACAGG